This 121-nucleotide ribosomal RNA is filed under the name Castor canadensis (American beaver). The record is from RNAcentral. Lineage: Eukaryota; Metazoa; Chordata; Mammalia; Rodentia; Castoridae.
AUCUAUGGUCAUACCACCCUGAAUAUGCCCGAUCUCAACUGAUCUCAGAAGCUUAGCAGGGCGGGGCCUGGUUAGUACUUGGAUGGGAGAAAAAAAACUAAAGCAAAACGGGCUAGGGGUA